UAUCAGCAAGGUCUUUAUGACCUGCAUCUUGUGUUGACCUCCUAUCUCACCCUGUGACUCAGAAUGCCUUAACCAUCUGGGGAUGCAGCCCAGUAAGUCUCAGCCUCAUUUUACCUGGCCCCUACUCAAGAUGGGGUUGCUCUGGUUCAAACGCCUCUGACAGGGUGACAACUGUGACCACAACAGAUUCACAAACAUGACAUUUUCAGAGAGAGGAAGCCUCCCCUGCUCUUAGUCUAUGUGAUUCGGACACAGCCAACUACAUUUCCCAGAUCCAGAAAUGAACACGCCAUUCCAAGUAAAGCCAAUGAGAGACAGCUGCAGGACUUUUGCUGGAACUAUUGGGAAAGUGGUGUUUCUUUUUCUGCUAUGGUUACUUAUCUGCUAUGCUCUAAGCCUGGAACUGCUGGAGGUCAUCUUUGCUGCAUGAAAAUGAAGUCAAUAUUGAGGACAGCAGAGAUGUGGACCCUGAGACCAGGGAGGUUGCGUGGCAUCAUUACAUCAGAAGGGGAGUGGUCUGAAUCCACUCCUCCCCUUCCAGGGCAGGAAGUCAACAGAGAAGGGCUCUGUGGUAACGUUGACAAUCACAAAUCAGUGGCAUAAACAUCUCCUUAAGACAUGCAGAGGCAGCUGGGCGUGGUGGCCCACGCCUGUAAUCCCACCAUGUGGGAGGCCAACGUGGGAGGAUCACUUGAGGUGGUUGUGCUCACCCCGCAUCAAGGUUGCUAAGCUGCUGUGAUGGAAUCCUGGAGCUGCUGAAGGACACCUCAUCUCUUUGUGGGAAGCAUCUGCUUGAGGAUUAAGGGAAUGCAGAAAAAAAGUGGAGUAGAGAGAUGGAGGAAGAUGACUUUCGAGGACAUUGUGUGAGCACCUGGAUCUAACUGUGCCUGAAGCAAAACUCAAACCCUGGACUCUCAAUGUAUUGGCUCUCAGUUCCAAGACCCAAUAAAUUCCUUCUUAGCUUAGAAU
RNAcentral lists this long non-coding RNA (969 nucleotides) under Homo sapiens (human). RNAcentral's name for it is "HSALNT0397600". Lineage: Eukaryota; Metazoa; Chordata; Mammalia; Primates; Hominidae. The record is from RNAcentral.